Molecule: unclassified non-coding RNA, 314 nt
Filed under: Hevea brasiliensis (rubber tree)
Lineage: Eukaryota; Viridiplantae; Streptophyta; Magnoliopsida; Malpighiales; Euphorbiaceae
Source: RNAcentral
AGGAGACAAAAUCACAGUGACUGAAGUUGCCCUUGGUUCCCGAUUGGAAGGACCGAGGUCUGAGGUCUGAGGAGAGAGAGAGAGAGAUUAUUAUGGCGUUGGAUUCGCUGAAAUGGGGUUACAUUCGCACCAUCACCGGCACAAUUCUGGGUGGUAUUCUUGGUUUCUACGUUAUGCACCGUGUUGAAGUCGCCUACAAGGAGAAGAUGAAGGAGAGAUUGAAACAAUAUGAGAGUGAACUGAAGAAGAAAGAGAAGUUGAAUCAGCUUGAAGACUCCAUCUAGUUUUUCUUUUCUUUUCUUUUCUUUCUUUUU